Molecule: long non-coding RNA, 860 nt
Organism: Onychostoma macrolepis
Lineage: Eukaryota; Metazoa; Chordata; Actinopteri; Cypriniformes; Cyprinidae
Exons: 3
Source: RefSeq, a predicted model, not a curated record
UAUGCAGUUCACUGUAAUUCAUUAAUAUCUGCCCUUCUGUAAUGUUGCAGGAAGAGUUUGGAGACAAUAGCAGUCCUGUCUGGAUGUGACUCUGCAAUAUAUCGUCCAAAGCUAAGUGUUUAAACAUUGAGCUUCAAUCACUGUACUACUGCACAUCAUAACCACAUUUGUAGAAAAAUGUUAAUCCUAAUCUAAUUUUGGUUUUGAUGUUUUUCAGCAAUUGUGUAGUUGAAGACAGAAUGCUUGAGAAGAUCAAGUGUGCUACAACACUGAUGAUGACAAUCGGACUACCAGCAUCUGUGGAUGGGACAAACUGUGUAUAGCACUGAAGACCAAAGCAAGGACAAUGCUGAAGACAGAAGAAGCAGAGAAAUAAGCAUACUAAAGCAGGAUAUCCAACCUGUACGACGAAUCAGAUCCAGUGGCUAGAUGGCGGGAGAUGCUUCCUUCAUCUAAUAAUUGGAUGACUAAUUAAUCUUAAUAUGUUUAUAAAUUGUUUGACCAUAUUACAUAAUUGGUUUAAUUUCUAAAUAUAUUAAUAUUUCACAUAUUAAGUAAGUAAAAUGAAUGUGUUCUUGAAAUGCGUGCGUCGUGCCAGAGGAGGAUGGGUCCCCCCUGCUGAGUUUGGUUCCUCUCAAGGUUUUUUACCUCCAAACCUUUUGGAGUUUUUUCCUUGCCACCAUCGCCAUUAGCUUGCUCACUGGGGGUGUUGUGCCAAAUCCCGUCUCUCUCUCUCGGAUCCUUUCCAACCAGGGUUUUCAAAACGGACGUUUUUAAUCAAAUAAAAAUUUAAUUAAAUAACCAGGGCUGCACAAUUAAUUAAAAAACUAAAUUAAAUCAUGUUAUGGCUUAGUGACAAU